This 781-nucleotide small RNA is filed under the name Fissistigma cf. poilanei MR-2013. RNAcentral's name for it is "eukaryotic LSU rRNA". The stretch from base 352 to 507 matches the Rfam family "5.8S ribosomal RNA". Lineage: Eukaryota; Viridiplantae; Streptophyta; Magnoliopsida; Magnoliales; Annonaceae. The record is from RNAcentral.
CGGUUCGCCGCCGGCGACGUCGCGAGAAGUCCACUGAACCUUAUCAUUUAGAGGAAGGAGAAGUCGUAACAAGGUUUCCGUAGGUGAACCUGCGGAAGGAUCAUUGUCGAUGGCCGAACGAGGGUAGACCCGCGAACCGCGUGACUCGAGAGGAAGGGGGGGCAUGCCGCGGCACCGGCGCGAGGCCGGGCCGGCGUUCCCUCCCGCCGCGGCACCGGCGCGAUGCCGGGCGCGGCGAACGGAACCGACACACCCACCGGCGCGAGUGGCGCCAAGGACCCCAAGAGGAGCGGGGGAGGAGGACGGGCGCGAGGACGGCCCCUCCGCCGCGCGAGGGAACAUCGAACGGACGACUCUCGGCAACGGAUAUCUCGGCUCUCGCAUCGAUGAAGAACGUAGCGAAAUGCGAUACUUGGUGUGAAUUGCAGAAUCCCGCGAACCAUCGAGUCUUUGAACGCAAGUUGCGCCCGAGGCCACCCGGCCGAGGGCACGCCUGCCUGGGCGUCACGCACCGCGCUGCCCGCACCCGGCCGGGGUGGCGGGCGGAGAUUGGCCGACCGUGCGCCCCGCGCGCGCGGCGGGCUGAAAGCCAUGAUGCACGCAGCGCCCCCCGGAGGGGCGUCGGCGCGGCGUUGGGUGGUCCCUCGAGAGGGCUCUCGAUCGGACGCCGCGCGCGCCGCCCGCUCCGAGGGGACGUAGGCGCCCCCCACGACUGCGUCGCGACCCCAGGUCAGGCGGGGCCACCCGCCGAGUUUAAGCAUAUAAAUAAGCGGAGGAAAAG